AAAUAGGAUUAAAUUACAUACGUAACCCUUUUUCCCUUCUAGAGUUAAAUUCGUCAUUUCCUUCGCCAAUAAAUAAAGGCGGAUCCUCUUUUGGCUCUUUUUUUCCAUUCAUUUUGUUGUCCUUAAUUUAUCGAACUCGCAGAGCAGCUCGAGAAAGGGCGCAGCGCUUUCCCUUUUCUCCUUCGAUUUUAAUCGAAAUUGAAUUCACCCUUUUCGUUACUUGUUGUCUCUCUCUCUUCCUCUCUCCCACAGACAGUGUAGUGACAUGGCGGAUGCUUACUGGAGGUACACCAGCGGUGGGCAGCAGGCGGCGGCUCUUCCUCCUCAACUCGUCGCAAAACGUCCUCGCACCGAAUAUGAUGUUCCAAGUGGUCCUGAGUUUCCUGGCUAUUAUGGCCGUGAUGAUGAAAGGGGAAUGCCUCGUGUCAUUAGAGACACAGAUCCUAUAGAAGCAUCCUAUGAGCGCUACCUCCGUAGUGGGCAAAUUUCCUCCCAUGUUGCCAGUGAGUCUGCAAGAUCCAUAAAUAGUGGAAUUAGUGGCCAUCCUAUUGAAGAUCCACGUGUUAUGGGGAUCGGGGGACCCGACCCGCUGGCUUUAAAAAGCAGGAAUGUUGGAAUGGUAGGUGGCAGACCAGAAAUUUCCCUUCCUCCGGAUGCUAGCAGUACAUUGUUUGUAGAGGGUUUGCCUGCGGAUUGUACAAGAAGAGAGGUGUCACAUAUAUUUCGCCCUUUUGUAGGUUACAAAGAAGUAAGGCUGGUACCAAAAGGAUCGCGGCAUCACGGAGGUGAUCCUUUGAUUCUUUGCUUUGUUGAUUUCGUGACUCCACUUCAUGCAGCUGCUGCAAUGGAUGCCUUGCAAGAAGGGAGCUACUGAAUCCUAUCCAUGGCAGUGUUACAAGAAGAUUUCGCUGAUCUGUUUAUGCGACUCACAUAUCGGCUGCUGAACUGCAGGUGUUUAUAGCUUUUGGCUGGAUAAUAUUUUUCCUCAAGAGAGAUGUCGUGGCCUGACAGUUUAAUCGUUAUCCAGGUAGCAGCAUGCAUGAUUAUAUGAGACUUCACUAGAAUUUUCCUUAGGGGUCAUGUAUGUAAAAGAGAAGGGAGGGCGGCCUAAUGCGGACACAUGAGUUGUUCCUCAUAGCCAUUAAUUACAGCUUUGCUUAUUGGGAGAAAUUCAAAAAUAACCUGAUUUACGAGUGUCAUUCAAAAAUGUCACAGUUUUAAAAAUAAUUAAAUUUUAUCCACUUUUCAUGUAAAGAAAAAUCUGAACGAAAACACUGUUCAAAAUCCGGAAAGAUACUCCUGUAUAAUAUACUUAUGGUGGAACUCUAGUAUAAUAUACCGGUGCAGCAUAAUAUACUGGAAUUUUUCGCAUGUUGGAGUUUCAGCAUAAUAUGCUGGAAGUUCAUACACAGGUGCACCUAUCUCCAGUAUAUUAUGCUGAAACUUUCCGUGUUGCACCAAAAUAGUGGCUAUUCUCCAAUGAUUUUGCAAACACUGGUUAUUUUUGGAUCACCAGUCCGAAAACUGGCUAGCCCGUGCUAUUUUUACUUGCUUAUUUUAUCCUGGUUAAGCAAUUUUGGUUACAAUUGCAUUGUACCCUGUGGCUGGUCCAUCUAUUGCCACUGCCAAUGUAGUAGCUGAUUCCAUACUUGUAAUUUAUGUGUUCAUCCUUGUAAUGAACAACUUUACAAUGCCCAAACCUUUUUUCUUCUUGCGUCUC
Nicotiana attenuata is the source of this 1720-nucleotide RNA transcript. It is a transcript of the gene named RNA-binding protein 2-like, with no coding region annotated. The transcript has 8 exons. Lineage: Eukaryota; Viridiplantae; Streptophyta; Magnoliopsida; Solanales; Solanaceae. The record is from RefSeq and is a predicted model, not a curated record.